AGCUCCAAUAGCGUAUAUUAAAGUUGUUGCAGUUAAAAGCUCGUAGUUGGAUUUCUGGUGUGAGCGUCUUGCCGGCCCAAACGGGUCUGUGCAGGCACGCCUCUCGCCAUCCUUGCGUCUAACUUGUCUGGCAUUAAGUUGUCGGGCUUGGGAAGCGCAUCGUUUACUGUGAAAAAUUAGAGUGUUCAAAGCAGGCUUACGCCGUUGAAUACAUUAGCAUGGAAUAAUAAGAUAGGACCUUGGUGCUAUUUUGUUGGUUUGCGUACCGAGGUAAUGAUUAAUAGGGACAGUUGGGGGUAUUUGUAUUCCAUUGUCAGAGGUGAAAUUCUUGGAUUUAUGGAAGACAAACUACUGCGAAAGCAUUUACCAAGGAUGUUUUCA
RNAcentral lists this ribosomal RNA (381 nucleotides) under uncultured eukaryote. Its description in RNAcentral is "SSU rRNA". It matches the Rfam family "Eukaryotic small subunit ribosomal RNA", at positions 587 to 972 of the family's 1831-position model. The record is from RNAcentral.